CCGAAUGGUCACUUACAUUCCUUAAAAAUUAAGCAAAUGAAUCACUUAAAUGAACUAGCUAGAUUCGGCUGAACAUGGAACUCCAUUAGACACCUUCUAGAUGAAGCAUUGGACUUGAAAAAAACUUGGAUGAUGCAUGGAUAGCUAGGUUCGGCCAAUGGGCAUAAAUUAGCUCAUUUAUGUUGCAACUUUUGGCUGAAAAGUGACCAGCAAUUAAGAGGGUAAUGAGCAGCCAAUUCAAGUGUGAAAGCUCAACAUUGAAG
RNAcentral lists this long non-coding RNA (263 nucleotides) under Gossypium barbadense (sea-island cotton). Its description in RNAcentral is "long non-coding RNA (GBAR_LNC022834)". Lineage: Eukaryota; Viridiplantae; Streptophyta; Magnoliopsida; Malvales; Malvaceae. The record is from RNAcentral.